GCAUAUCAAUAAGCGGAGGAAAAGAAACCAACAGGGAUUGCCCUAGUAACGGCGAGUGAAGCGGCAACAGCUCAAAUUUGAAAUCUGGCUUCGGCCCGAGUUGUAAUUUGUAGAGGAUGCUUUGGGCGCGGCUCUAACUGAGUUCCCUGGAACGGGACGCCACAGAGGGUGAGAGCCCCGUAUAGUUAGAUGCCUAGCCUAUGUAAAGCUCCUUCGACGAGUCGAGUAGUUUGGGAAUGCUGCUCUAAAUGGGAGGUAAAUUUCUUCUAAAGCUAAAUAUUGGCCAGAGACCGAUAGCGCACAAGUAGAGUGAUCGAAAGAUGAAAAGCACUUUGAAAAGAGGGUUAAAUAGCACGUGAAAUUGUUGAAAGGGAAGCGCUUGUGACCAGACUUGCGCCGGGCAGAUCAUCCGGUGUUCUCACCGGUGCACUCUGCCCGGCUCAGGCCAGCAUCGGUUCUCGUGGGGGGAUAAAGGUCCCGGGAACGUAGCUCCUCCGGGAGUGUUAUAGCCCGGGGCGUAAUGCCCUCGUGGGGACCGAGGUUCGCGCAUCUGCAAGGAUGCUGGCGUAAUGGUCAUCAGCGACCCGUCUUGAAACACGGACCAAGGAGUCAAGGUUUUGCGCGAGUGUUUGGGUGUAAAACCCGCACGCGUAAUGAAAGUGAACGUAGGUGAGAGCUUCGGCGCAUCAUCGACCGAUCCUGAUGUAUUCGGAUGGAUUUGAGUAAGAGCGUUAAGCCUUGGACCCGAAAGAUGGUGAACUAUGCUUGGAUAGGGUGAAGCCAGAGGAAACUCUGGUGGAGGCUCGCAGCGGUUCUGACGUGCAAAUCGAUCGUCAAAUCUGAGCAUGGGGGCGAAAGACUAAUCGAACCAUCUAGUAGCUGGUUACCGC
Molecule: ribosomal RNA, 890 nt
Filed under: Trichocladium asperum
Lineage: Eukaryota; Fungi; Ascomycota; Sordariomycetes; Sordariales; Chaetomiaceae
Description: eukaryotic LSU rRNA
Rfam family: Eukaryotic large subunit ribosomal RNA
Source: RNAcentral